AAGCUUGCUUCCACUGAGAAGAUAGUGGCGAACGGGUGAGUAACACGUGGGGUAACCUGCCCAUAAGAGGGGGAUAACAUCCGGAAACGGGUGCUAAUACCGCAUAGUUUUCUUGAUCGCAUGAUUGAGAAAGGAAAGACGGCCUUUGUGCUGUCGGCUUAUGGAUGGACCCGCGGCGUAUUAGUUAGUUGGUGAGGUAACGGCUCACCAAGACGAUGAUACGUAGCCGACCUGUGAGGGUGAUCGGCCACAUUGGGACUGAGACACGGCCCAAACUCCUACGGGAGGCAGCAGUAGGGAAUCUUCCGCAAUGGACGAAAGUCUGACGGAAGCAACGCCGCGUGAGUGAUGACGGCCUUCGGGUUGUAAAGCUCUGUCUUCAGGGACGAUAAUGACGGUACCUGAGGAGGAAGCCACGGCUAACUACGUGCCAGCCGCUGC
Molecule: ribosomal RNA, 441 nt
Filed under: uncultured bacterium
Lineage: Bacteria
Description: bacterial SSU rRNA
Rfam family: Bacterial small subunit ribosomal RNA
Source: RNAcentral